RNAcentral lists this ribosomal RNA (253 nucleotides) under uncultured bacterium. RNAcentral describes it as "partial 16S ribosomal RNA". It matches the Rfam family "Bacterial small subunit ribosomal RNA", at positions 524 to 776 of the family's 1533-position model. The record is from RNAcentral.
UACAGAGGGUGCAAGCGUUAAUCGGAAUUACUGGGCGUAAAGCGUGCGUAGACAGUUACAUAAGUCGGGUGUGAAAGCCCCGGGCUCAACCUGGGAAUUGCAUUCGAGACUGCGUAGCUAGGGUGCGGAAGAGGGAAGCGGAAUUUCCGGUGUAGCGGUGAAAUGCGUAGAUAUCGGAAGGAACACCAGUGGCGAAAGCGGCUUCCUGGUCCAGCACCGACGUUCAGGCACGAAAGCGUGGGGAGCAAACAGG